GGAAGAGAGGAGAGAGGAGGAGGGUUAGAUGUAGAGAGGAGGAGAGUUGAGCCCGUGUGACGCAAAGGAGCGAAGAGAGAAGAUUAAUCCCUGCUCACGGCGAAGACGGGAGUCCCGAUGACCCCUGUGCAAAGACAACCCGAACACAGACAGGUGUUGUAAAGAGUGACCGGUAGAGCGGAAAUGGCGCGAGACCAGCAUGUCGUUGCCGAGUCGGAUGUUUCGGAGGUGUUCCUCUGGAUUCAAAUUCUGCGUGGUCAACUUU
Long non-coding RNA from Octopus sinensis (East Asian common octopus), 265 nucleotides. RefSeq lists it as uncharacterized. The transcript is spliced from 3 exons. The record is from RefSeq and is a predicted model, not a curated record. Lineage: Eukaryota; Metazoa; Mollusca; Cephalopoda; Octopoda; Octopodidae.